This 351-nucleotide long non-coding RNA is filed under the name Cricetulus griseus (Chinese hamster). Its description in RNAcentral is "lncRNA (ENSCGRG00015030920.1)". Lineage: Eukaryota; Metazoa; Chordata; Mammalia; Rodentia; Cricetidae. The record is from RNAcentral.
UUUAUAUUAUUUAUAAUUUCCAUAAGAGCCUGCAUCUCAUGCAUCUUUUAACAUGGGCAUUUUAAUAUCUCUUUCUAUUAGGUUGUCAGUAUCAUAAGAUCAGGACAUGGUUUUCCUAAACAGACACAGUGCCUUAUUUUAUGAUGUCAAGAUGCAUAGAUGCUCAGAGAGAGAAUCCAAAUGGACAGAAAGCAAGUUCAAAGACAAGACUUGUGGAAACAGACAAUACAUUGUCAGCAUAUUUCUUGACAUGGAGAGCCACUGCCUGGGAGCCAGUUGGGAUUCUUACAAAAGCCUGCUGUGUUGCUGAGUGUCCUGGAAGAAUACAGUGUUGCAGUGGUUCAGAGGAAC